AACGAACGCUGGCGGCAGGCCUAAUACAUGCAAGUCGAACGAACCGUUUACGGUGAGUGGCGCACGGGUGCGUAACACGUGGGAACAUACCCUUUGGUACGGAAUAACGUCUGGAAACGGGCGCUAAUACCGUAUAAUGACUUCGGUCCAAAGAUUUAUCGCCAAAGGAUUGGCCCGCGUCUGAUUAGUUAGUUGGUAGGGUAAUGGCUUACCAAGACGAUGAUCAGUAGCUGGUCUGAGAGGAUGAUCAGCCACACUGGGACUGAGACACGGCCCAG
Molecule: ribosomal RNA, 278 nt
Filed under: uncultured bacterium
Lineage: Bacteria
Description: partial 16S ribosomal RNA
Rfam family: Bacterial small subunit ribosomal RNA
Source: RNAcentral